Molecule: long non-coding RNA, 1857 nt
Filed under: Gallus gallus (chicken)
Lineage: Eukaryota; Metazoa; Chordata; Aves; Galliformes; Phasianidae
Source: RNAcentral
CGGCUUCCGGCUGCUCGCUGUGUGGGGUUUGGAGGUCGUGCCCGGGCGCUUCCGGGUGGGUGAGGCCUUAAAGGCCGUGCGGGGCCAACGCGGGCACCGCACCGUGAGCUGGAGGACCGCGGUGUGCUCCGGGGAGCCCUGAGGUACGCCCGUAGAUCCUAAUUCUGCUCUGGCGUGCCCUGAAGUCCUUCUGCUCUGCUAUGGAGGCCUUCGAGGCCUAUCCCAGCACGUUGGCACAGCACACAGUGCCCUCAGGAGCCCUCCGUGCGCUCCAGGCCGUCUUAGUGCAGGUCAGCUGAACGCGGUAACCACCCAGCAUGCCCUGUGGGGUACCAGAGCCCGCACAGAGGUGCCUGAUGCGCUCUUGAGGGCUCCUGAGGCCUCACUGUGUGCCCCAGAGGCAGCCCAGGGCACCCUGUUUGAACCUGAAGUCCUCCUGGAGCUCCUCGCUGUGCCCCAUAGGCCUCCAGGAGCCCCCCCCGUGCACUGUGGGGGCCCAUGAGCACUCUGCAGGUGUCCAUUUGCUUCCUGCAAUCGAUCCAGGGCGACAGAGCGGCCUCGCAGUGGUGUCUUCUAGUUCCUAUGGGCUGCAUCCUAUGAUCCCGCAGACUCCGCCACUCUGGAUUUGAUCCAAUAUUCCCCGACCUACUUUGUUUUCCCAAACGCGCUCCCAGAGGAGCUUCUUGUUGGCUUUGCUGUAUCUGCUGACCGACGCAGUUCUGUUGGAGUUUUGCUUUCUCAGCUCCGUCCCUGGGGGCUUGGAUGAUGUCUGUGUAUUCCCAGUGUUGUCCCAGCGUAAUUUGUGCCCGUCUGGGUGAAAAGUGGGGUGAAGUGCUCCGAGGAGGGGCAAAGCGGGGGGGAGGUGAUGGAGGACUUUGCAGAGAGGGGACGCUGACCCCAAGGAACAGGAAAACACGACCUCUGCUGCAGUUCUGAGUAUCCAGAAAUGAAAGCGACGGCUCUGCAGGCACAGCCUCUCCCCACUGCCCACAUUCAAUGGGGCUGGUUCGUACUGGGGAGUCCCAUAAAACACCCUGGGGGAAGGGGGACACCCCCAUAAACUACGCUAUAGGUUGUUCCAUAGCAAAAAAAAAAACAACACACCCUUCAACCACCCCCCAAAAUCGCACGCAUCGAGGCAGGUUGAUCGCUUUAUUCUGCUCAUGUUUUGCAGGGGGUGGGGGAGUGGAAAUGGUCUGUUAUGCGACAGUGCCCCCCGGCCCUACAGCCCCCACCUGGCGCCGUGCCUCAUCCAUCAUCUCGGCGAUCAGCUCACUCUCAGCCAACGUCAUCACGGGGCUCUCAGUCAGCCCUGAGGGGACAAGGGGUCAGCAGGACACCCCCCAUCAUUGUGAACCUCCCCCCCCCCCCACCCCCACUCUCCCCCUUGUUGUUUUGGGACUUUCCUACUAUUUGGGACCCCUUCAUCGUUUAGAGACCCCUCCAUCAUUUAGCGAUACCCCCCAGUACUUUGGACCUCCUGUGUUAUUUGUAGGGAACCCACAUUUUAUUUUGGGACCCCUGCCAUUAUUUUAGGGACCACCCAUCAUUUAGGACCCCACCACUCACACCCCCCUAUGCCCCCUCACCCUUCAGCAAGCACUCCCGCACGUGCUGGGCCUCGUAGCGCAGCCCUGUGCUGUUGGGGUAGUUCAGGGGUUCCACGGGGGGGGGCAAGGGGAAAACCUCUCUCUUGCCCUCCCAGAUCAGCUCAGUGGGGCAGUUCAGGUGGCUGGGGAUCUCCACCCAGCCGCGGGUUCCCCCCAGCGCGGCGCCCCCUGGCAGCUUUGCAUCCAUGGACACGGUCAGUGCUGCCUGCUUCCCCCCCUCAUACUGCAGCGUCAGCGUCACCGUCUC